AUCGCUUCUCAGCCUUUUGGCUAAAAUUAAGUGUAGUAUCUGAUCUUCAGUUUAAGAUCUGAUACCUCCUCCAUAUGAGGACUUUAUAUCAAACGAAUUUUUAGAGCAGGGAACUGGAAGAUCUUCCAGCUGGGCUUUCUCCAUUUUCUCCAAGUAUUAACCUGCUUAGAAUGGCUUCAGGAAGAAGAUGAAGCCUU
Neoarius graeffei (lesser salmon catfish) is the source of this 197-nucleotide small nuclear RNA. RefSeq annotates it as U2 spliceosomal RNA. The record is from RefSeq and is a predicted model, not a curated record. NCBI's taxonomy places the organism in Eukaryota, Metazoa, Chordata, Actinopteri, Siluriformes, Ariidae. The transcript has a single exon.